RNAcentral lists this ribosomal RNA (253 nucleotides) under uncultured bacterium. RNAcentral's name for it is "partial 16S ribosomal RNA". It matches the Rfam family "Bacterial small subunit ribosomal RNA", at positions 524 to 776 of the family's 1533-position model. The record is from RNAcentral.
UACGUAGGGUGCGAGCGUUGUCCGGAAUUAUUGGGCGUAAAGGGCGCGUAGGCGGCCUUCUAAGUCAGACGUGAAAUCCCCCGGCUUAACCUGGGAACUGCGUCUGAUACUGGAGGGCUUGAGUGCGGGAGAGGGAUGUGGAAUUCCAGGUGUAGCGGUGAAAUGCGUAGAUAUCUGGAGGAACACCGGUGGCGAAGGCGGCAUCCUGGACCGACACUGACGCUGAGGCGCGAAAGCUAGGGUAGCAAACGGG